Molecule: transfer RNA, 76 nt
Filed under: Pseudoalteromonas sp. S1610
Lineage: Bacteria; Pseudomonadati; Pseudomonadota; Gammaproteobacteria; Alteromonadales; Pseudoalteromonadaceae
Description: tRNA-Lys
Rfam family: tRNA (bases 3-70)
About the family: Transfer RNA (tRNA) molecules are approximately 80 nucleotides in length. Their secondary structure includes four short double-helical elements and three loops (D, anti-codon, and T loops).
Source: RNAcentral
UUGUCAUUAGCUCAGUUGGUAGAGCAGUGGACUUUUAAUCCAUUGGUCGAUGGUUCAAGUCCAUCAUGACCCACCA